AUAGAUAACUAGGGGAGCUUUUGCUGAGAUUGGAAUAAAUUCCUAAACCCUUAUGACCUGAUUUGGUUAAGACCAACGUAGGGAAGUGCAGAAUUAAUUAG
This is a regulatory RNA element of Clostridium butyricum, 101 nucleotides long. It matches the Rfam family "TPP riboswitch aptamer (THI element)". From Rfam's summary of the family: Vitamin B(1) in its active form thiamin pyrophosphate (TPP) is an essential coenzyme that is synthesised by coupling of pyrimidine and thiazole moieties in bacteria. The previously detected thiamin-regulatory element, thi box was extended, resulting in a new, highly conserved RNA secondary structure, the THI element, which is widely distributed in eubacteria and also occurs in some archaea. The record is from Rfam. NCBI's taxonomy places the organism in Bacteria, Bacillati, Bacillota, Clostridia, Eubacteriales, Clostridiaceae.